This 684-nucleotide long non-coding RNA is filed under the name Mastacembelus armatus (zig-zag eel). RNAcentral's name for it is "lncRNA (ENSMAMG00000026166.1)". The record is from RNAcentral. Lineage: Eukaryota; Metazoa; Chordata; Actinopteri; Synbranchiformes; Mastacembelidae.
AUGAAGCUGAUCCUUUCUCUGCCUCUCAUCUGGACGCUCUUCAGCACAGCUGGAGCUCUGGUGUGUCAAACCUGCACAGAUACACGAUGUUCAACCACAGCACCACAAACAUGUUCCACAGAGACCAUGUGUAUUACAGCUUCCAUUCUAGCCACUGCUGCUGGAGCUGCAGCACCUCAGACCUACAAGGCCUGUGCAUCGUCCUCCCUGUGUCCAGCCACUGGCUUUCAGACAUUAUCAGUCAGUUUGGCUGGUUUCCGUGCAAUUUUAUCUGCUCAGUGCUGCAACUCAGACAACUGCAACUCAGAAACUCUACCUACCCCUAUUCCUCAGCCAACUAACACCCUGCAGUGUCUCACCUGUGACGCCACCACCUCUCAGUGCACCAGCUCAGUACAAUGUACAGGAGUGCAGGACAGAUGCUUUAUAGCAACCAGUGAGUUAUUAUGAUACAAAGUUUAACACAUGUCUUCAAAUAUGUUUUAUAACCUCACAACAUUUGAAAUAUUACCUUUAAGGUAAAUCUGAUGUCCUUUUACUCAUAUUUGUACUAAACAUUAUUCUACUUCUAAUCCAUUACAUUUCAGAGAUAAAUAUUGGAAUAUUUUACUGCACUGGAUUUCUAAGACAGCUAUAGUGACUGAUUCAUUUACAGAUCAUUUUACAGAACAAGACAAAAAGUUU